AUACUGCAGUCGAGGGGCAGCACAGGUAGCAAUACUGGGUGGCGACCGGCAAACGGGUGCGGAACACGUACGCAACCUUCCUUCAAGCGGGGAAUAGCCCAGAGAAAUUUGGAUUAAUACCCCAUAAGAAUGUGACCUGGCAUCAGGUAGCAUUUAAAGAUUUAUCACUUGGAGAUGGGCGUGCGUCUGAUUAGGUAGUUGGUGAGGUAACGGCUCACCAAGCCGACGAUCAGUAACUGGCGUGAGAGCGCGACCAGUCACACGGGCACUGAGACACGGGCCCGACUCCUACGGGAGGCAGCAGUAAGGAAUAUUGGUCAAUGGACGGAAGUCUGAACCAGCCAUGCCGCGUGGAGGAUGAAGGCCCUCUGGGUUGUAAACUUCUUUUAUUUGGGACGAAACACUUCUUUUCUAAGAAGCUUGACGGUACCAGAUGAAUAAGCACCGGCUAACUCCGUGCCAGCAGCCGCGGUAAUACGGAGGGUGCAAGCGUUAUCCGGAUUCACUGGGUUUAAAGGGUGCGUAGGCGGACAUGUAAGUCCGUGGUGAAAUCUCUAAGCUUAACUUGGAAACUGCCAUGGAUACUAUAUGUCUUGAAUGUUGUGGAGGUUAGCGGAAUAUGUCAUGUAGCGGUGAAAUGCAUAGAUAUGACAUAGAACACCAAUUGCGAAGGCAGCUGGCUACACAAAUAUUGACGCUGAGGCACGAAAGCGUGGGGAUCAAACAGGAUUAGAUACCCUGGUAGUCCACGCCCCUAAACGAUGAUUACUCGACAUACGCGAUACACAGUGUGUGUCUGAGCGAAAGCAUUAAGUAAUCCACCUGGGAAGUACGACCGCAAGGUUGAACC
This 850-nucleotide ribosomal RNA is filed under the name Sphingobacteriales bacterium PA21. Its description in RNAcentral is "bacterial SSU rRNA". It matches the Rfam family "Bacterial small subunit ribosomal RNA", at positions 51 to 900 of the family's 1533-position model. The record is from RNAcentral. Lineage: Bacteria; Pseudomonadati; Bacteroidota; Sphingobacteriia; Sphingobacteriales.